CUCACAAAUACAUAUCUCUUUAAAAAUAUAAAUGAAUAAAUGUAGUAUUAGAAAUCCUGGGAAGUGACUGUCCCCUUGUCAGGAUCGUAUGGCUCUUACCUGGGUCCACCGGUGUUCUCCGUGAUGCUGCAAGCUCACACACUGCGGGUUCUUAUGGAUCAAUGAAUUCGGGACCAAAUGCCGAAUUUGCUGAAUUGAAUUCGGCUCAUUAU
Pelobates cultripes (western spadefoot toad) is the source of this 212-nucleotide non-coding RNA. Lineage: Eukaryota; Metazoa; Chordata; Amphibia; Anura; Pelobatidae. The record is from the annotation of a GenBank genome assembly.